AGAAGGGGGUAUUGUUACAUACAAGAGAACUAGGUCUAGAAAAAAUGAGCCUAGUGUAGUUAAGUGAGCAGGCAUGAGUUGUCAAAACAACGGGCAUGAGUUGUUACGAAUGAGUUUCGGCGGGAACAAUUACUUGUAGCAGUUAUUGCCAUAUUAAAAGAGUCAUAACAGCCUAGUGUAAUCAGAGAAGAAUCAUUAUACAAUGAUAAACUCCUUCCUCCUUUCUUCCAAUCUUCUUUCUAUUUG
RNAcentral lists this unclassified non-coding RNA (246 nucleotides) under Hevea brasiliensis (rubber tree). The record is from RNAcentral. Lineage: Eukaryota; Viridiplantae; Streptophyta; Magnoliopsida; Malpighiales; Euphorbiaceae.